This 1160-nucleotide ribosomal RNA is filed under the name Cyclosa conica. RNAcentral describes it as "SSU rRNA". It matches the Rfam family "Eukaryotic small subunit ribosomal RNA", at positions 624 to 1824 of the family's 1831-position model. The record is from RNAcentral. Lineage: Eukaryota; Metazoa; Arthropoda; Arachnida; Araneae; Araneidae.
AAAAGCUCGUAGUUGGAUCUCAGCUCCGGKCGGAYGGUCCGCCUACCGGUGGUUACUGUUCGCWMCSGAGYGUUCRGGYGGUUAUUCUUGAUGAUCUUCACCGGUUGUCUCGRGUGACYGCCAAGUUUACUUUGAAAAAAUUAGAGUGCUCAAAGCAGGCGCRACGCCUGAAUAAUUGUGCAUGGAAUAAUGGAAUAGGACCUCGGUUCUAUUUUGUUGGUUUUCGGAACACGAGGUAAUGAUUAAGAGGGACAGACGGGGGCAUUCGUAUUGCGACGCUAGAGGUGAAAUUCUUGGACCGUCGCAAGACGAACUACUGCGAAAGCAUUUGCCAAGAAUGUUUCCAUUAAUCAAGAACGAAAGUUAGAGGUUCGAAGGCGAUCAGAUACCGCCCUAGUUCUAACCAUAAACGAUGCCAGCUAGUGAUCCGCCUGUGUUCCUCAAAUGACACGGCGGGCRACUUCCGGGAAACCAAAGCUUUUGGGUUCCGGGGGAAGUAUGGUUGCAAAGCUGAAACUUAAAGGAAUUGACGGAAGGGCACCACCAGACAUGGAGCCUGCGGCUUAAUUUGACUCAACACGGGAAAACUUACCCGGCCCGGACACAGGAAGGAUUGACAGAUUGAGAGCUCUUUCUUGAUUCUGUGGGUGGUGGUGCAUGGCCGUUCUUAGUUGGUGGGGCGACUUGUCUGGUUAAUUCCGAUAACGAACGAGACUCUAGCCUACUAAAUAGACGUUCCGAUCCUCUUGAGUCGGACGUUCUUCUUAGAGGGACAAGCGGCGUUUAGCCGCACGAGACAGAGCAAUAACAGGUCUGGGAUGCCCUUAGAUGUCCGGGGCCGCACGCGCGCUACAUUGAAGGAAUCAGCGUGUGCUUUCCCUGUCCGAAAGGACUGGGUAACCCGUUGAACCUCCUUCGUGCUGGGGAUUGGCGUAUGUAAUUAUCGCCAUGAACGAGGAAUGCCCAGUAAGCACGAGUCAUCAGCUCGUGUUGAUUACGUCCCUGCCCUUUGUCCACACCGCCCGUCGCUACUACCGAUUGAAUGAUUUAGUGAGGUCUUCRGACUGGCGCUCGRWUUGGCCUCCGCGGUCRAGCCGGUGUGCYGGAAAGAUGACCAAACUUGAUCAUUUAGAGGAAGUAAAAGUCGUAACAAGGUUUUC